Molecule: ribosomal RNA, 253 nt
Filed under: uncultured bacterium
Lineage: Bacteria
Description: partial 16S ribosomal RNA
Rfam family: Bacterial small subunit ribosomal RNA
Source: RNAcentral
UACGUAGGGCGCAAGCGUUGUCCGGAAUUAUUGGGCGUAAAGAGCUCGUAGGCGGCUUGUCACGUCGGGUGUGAAAGCCCGGGGCUUAACCCCGGGUCUGCAUUCGAUACGGGCUAGCUAGAGUGUGGUAGGGGAGAUCGGAAUUCCUGGUGUAGCGGUGAAAUGCGCAGAUAUCAGGAGGAACACCGGUGGCGAAGGCGAGUCCCUGGACAUUUCCUGACACUGAGGCACGAAAGCUAGGGGAGCAAACAGG